CUGUCCUGCUGUUUCUCUGCUCUCAGCUCUCCUCUCCUCACUGCUGGUCUACCUGCUUUGCCUGAAGAAAGCAAACAAUGAAGCUGAAAAUAAGAGAUGUGACAUUUCAAGACAAACUGAAGGAGCUCAGGAUGAAAAUGUUUGUUACGCUGCCCUGGAAAUCCAUCCGCCAUCACAGAGGACGAAGAGGAAGAGGACGAUCCAAAGUUCAGAUUUCAGUACAUACUCUGCCAUCAAGACAUGAGGAGAUUCAUAUUUAACACAGAAGUUAAACAGUAAUAAAGGAGUCCUUAGAGUUUUAUUUCCUUUCAUUAACUUCCUCUCAAACUAAAGAAAAAAUCUUUAAACCCUCAUCUCAACUCUUCUUUUCAGACAGCUUUGUCUUAUUUUUAUUUACAUCUCUGUUCAUCAGUAAAGCUCUUUUCAGUUAAAUGUCUAACUUUCAUCAUAGACGCCUUGAGCUCCUCACUGAGACAGCUUAGUCAAAAACAGCAGCGAGCCUCCGACACGCCGUACCCUACUACUCUAAUACUGGUUCUAUAUUUCACUUUGCAGAAGCUCUAGUUACACAUGCAUCUUUUUUUUUUCGCUUGUUUUACAUUAAAGUAUAUUUUCAAACAUUUUCACUGGCAUUUAUUAAACUCAAAUUGAAUUUGUUAAACUUUUGAAUUAUGUAACAUCAGACUGUGUGACUAUUUUUU
Cyprinodon variegatus (sheepshead minnow) is the source of this 701-nucleotide long non-coding RNA. RefSeq lists it as uncharacterized. The record is from RefSeq and is a predicted model, not a curated record. NCBI's taxonomy places the organism in Eukaryota, Metazoa, Chordata, Actinopteri, Cyprinodontiformes, Cyprinodontidae. The transcript has 3 exons.